CAAUAGCGUAUAUUAAAGUUGUUGCAGUUAAAAAGCUCGUAGUUGGAUUUCUGUGAGAGUGCCGGUGUCGGCUGAUGCUUGUACGCAGGCGCUCUUACAUCCUUCUGUUAACUGUUCUUGGCAUUUUAUCGCUGGUUCAGGGCUCAGAUAUUUUACCUUGAGAAAAUUAGAGUGUUUCAGGCAGGCUUAUGCCGGAAUACAUUAGCAUGGAAUAAUGGAACAGGACCUGUGCGUCUCUCGGGGCGCCGGUCUCCGUUGUUGGUUUCGGGGACUAAUGUAAUGAUUAAUAGGGAUAGUUGGGGGCAUUAGUAUUUAAUAGUCAGAGGUGAAAUUCUCGGAUUUGUUAAAGACUAACUUAUGCGAAAGCAUUUGCCAAGGAUGUUUUCAUUAA
RNAcentral lists this ribosomal RNA (391 nucleotides) under uncultured eukaryote. Its description in RNAcentral is "partial 18S ribosomal RNA". It matches the Rfam family "Eukaryotic small subunit ribosomal RNA", at positions 592 to 976 of the family's 1831-position model. The record is from RNAcentral.